UAGUCUCGCACAGAUGCAUAUCAAUAAGCGGAGGAAAAGAAACUAACAAGGAUUCCCCUAGUAACGGCGAGUGAAGCGGGAAGAGCUCAAAUUUGAAAUCUUAAAGGGUUUCCCUUUACGAAUUGUAGUUUAAAGAAGUGUUUUCUGUUGAGGUUUUGGUAAAAGUUCUUUGGAAUAGGACAUCAUAGAGGGUGAGAAUCCCGUAUUUGACCUUUACUUUCAACUUUGUGAUACACUUUCAAAGAGUCGGAUUGUUUGGGAAUGCAGUCCAAAAUGGGUGGUAAAUUUCAUUUAAAGCUAAAUAUUGGCGAGAGACCGAUAGCGAACAAGUACCGUGAGGGAAAGAUGAAAAGAACUUUGAAAAGAGAGUUAAACAGUACGUGAAAUUGUCAAAAGGGAAGCGUUUGACACCAGUGUUGUUUUUCUGAAAAUCAAUUAAAGAACUGUUUAUGCUAAGCUGUUUAGACUUUAUCAGCUAUCUGUUUAGUUUUGAGCUUUUCUUUAAUGCACUUUUCAGUUAACAAGUCAACAUCAAUUUCUUUUGCUGUAAAAAAGCUUGAGGAAGGUGGCUUGAGAUUCGUCUUAAGUGUUUAUAGCCUCUUGCCUAUGCAGUCGGAGAGAUUGAGGUCUGCAGCGUAGAUCCUUCGGGGCUAAAUGCAUUUGUGCUAAGUUAUAGCAUUUUAUAGACAACUUGUUGACUAUGAUUUGUCUUGUAGCUUACUCGCUUAUGUUAUUUUACCUACGCUUAGGAUGUUGAUCUGUAGUGCGUGCGC
Molecule: ribosomal RNA, 773 nt
Filed under: uncultured Neocallimastigales
Lineage: Eukaryota; Fungi; Neocallimastigomycota; Neocallimastigomycetes; Neocallimastigales
Description: partial large subunit ribosomal RNA
Rfam family: Eukaryotic large subunit ribosomal RNA
Source: RNAcentral